ACAUACCGCAAAAUAAUAAUAAUAAUAAUUUGUAGUUGAUUUUUUUCAACCGUCCACUGUCCAUUGAUUCUCUUGAAUUCAGGAGAAAUUACAGGCAAUCUCCAAUCUGCAUUUCAGAACUUAAUUUGUCGAAGAAUGAUGGCCAUAAUCUAUGACUUAAUGUAGGUUGAAAAUGAAAUCUCUUCUAUGAAUCUGUACAAAUAUUUCCUGUAGGAACAAUGAGACAGAGGAAAGAGGUAGAUUUCCAGGUUAGCCUUCAAAAGCCUCUUAAACCCUAAUUGAGCAGCACUGCUUUUACGGAAAAGGUAUCCAGUAACCCUUCCCAGUUCCAGGCACCGGAGACUGCCCCCUCCCCUAUACAUGUUCCAAAACAAACUUCGGGAUGGGUGAUCUGACAGCAGAGAUUGUAGCUUCUUUAAUAUCAGGGACUUAUUCCCCAUCCUGAGGAAGUUAUAUAUAUGAGAGGUGGGGAGAAGACAUGGGAAAAGCUCCAGAUGGACAACGUGUAUGAAGGCUGGGAAGUUAGUUGGCAAGGUAAAGCUACAGCUGGGAGGCCCCCCGGAACAGGGAGGGCUAGGGGAGGGGGGAAGGGGGAGAUCAAGUAGUCAAUGAAGCAAGCGAUAAGAAUUACAUAUGAACAGGAGAAGCAAGAAAGAGGAAAAAGAACAUUAUACACUCACCUGCACAGACCACACAUCUUGGUUAGUCAUACACAGCAGGGUCCCUGCCUGCUUCUGUGGCCAGUAAUAAGCAGGCGGGUCCUCCAGCCACUCAGGCUCCCUUCCUGGGAGGUUUCCACCAGCCCUGUCCUCAGGGCUUUGCUGCUCUCUGGACUCAGUUUUCAACUUCACAGACAUCCUAACCCCGAGGUAGUCACCCCCCUGCCUCUUACUUCCUUACCUCUGGCCUCAGGUUUGGAUCCUGUAUGGUUCCCUCAGUUCAGAACUCUUGCCACCUAGUUGGUUUCUAAGAAAGACUUCCUUGUCCUUCCUCUUCUCUCAGCGUCUUCCCCUCCCACACACAUUUCCCUCCUAAUCAUGGGGUCCUCCCUCUACCCCUGUAUUGAGAGACCUUCCCACUCCACUAUGUCUGGUGCCCCCGUCCCAGCCUUUCUCAUCCAGGGAACUUGGACCCUAGGUCUCUUGGUCCACUCGCCACCCACCCUCCACCCAACACUGCUUCUCUCCUCUUCCUCCACCUUCUGCUUACUGCUGGCCUCCCUCCCUCCCAAGCUUGGGCUGCUUCCUGCCCUCCACCCUUUCCUUUUGUCAGACCCUGUGCUCUCAAGUCAACUUUUUAACCACCCCCCUUCCCCAUUCUCUUGAUUUCUCUCCUCUUCCUAAUUUGAGGGAGUUCUCUCCUGCCUCCUUAAUUGGGCCAAUUGUUCGUGCUCUUGACUCCCUUCUCUUCCUUCUCCCCCUGGAGAACGUUCUCCCACCUCCCCUACCCCCCCAUCUGGCUUUUCUUUCCCCCCAGUAUUUCUUUCAUCUGCCGUGUCACUGAGCUAAUGAUGUUCCUUCCUCUUCCACAUCUGGAUCCUUCUCCCCACCCUACCACAGACCCCUACCACCGCCUCCCCCAUUUCCUUGCUGUUCCUAACCUGCAUCUUUUUCCCACUUUCAGUUCUCUUCCCUCCCUCCGUCCCCAAUUACAAAUCCUUCCCUCCCUUCCUGACCCAAGGACCGCUCCCUCUCCCCAAUACCUUUUCUCCUUUUCCCUCAAAGCCCUCCAUUCCUGUGCCAGGGUCCCUUUUUUCCUCUCUGGACCCUAUUUUCAUUCCCUAUGAUCUCGACUCUAGGCUCAAACCCCUCCUCCCCCUUCUUGACUCCAGAAAGAUUCGGACACCUUUCUUCGACCCCAGCGUUUAUUCCUCAUCUUCUUUCUUCCUUCCCUAUUUCCCAGGGAUUCUUAAAACCCUUUACAUAUGAGAUUGAAAAUAACCAAAUGCUAAAUAAAUAAGAUGGAGAAUACAGAUACUAAGGCCUUCGAAUAUGCUUCUCCCUCUUCCUGAACACCCCCUUCGCCCCUUCUCCACAUCUAGUCAUGGCUGGCUUCUUUUUGUUCAGAUUUUAGCCUGAAAGUCACCUUGUAAGAGAAUCAUUCCCUGGUCACCUAAUAUAAAGGAUUCCCAAACACCACCCACCCACAGACCAUAUUGGUUUUUGUUUUCUAAAGAACAUUUAAUACUGUGAAGUCUUGAUGUGUUGGUCCAUCUAGAAUUGAUGUCCCAUGAAAGAGGACUUAACUUUCUUGUUCAUCUUGUAUCUCUGCCAUUUAGAAUGGUGCCUGGUACAUAAUGGCUCAGUCAGUUUGCUGAAUAAGUUAGUGAUUUCUAGGUACCAGACACUAUGCCAAGUGCUCGCUCUAUCUUGUUUAAUCCUUACAACAAGGCUGACUGAAGUAAGUACUUUUUUUUUUUUUUUAGUACUUUUAUUAUUGCUAUUUUAUUCCUUAAGUAACUGAAGUGCAGAAAGGAUAAGUGAAUUUGCCUGUUGUCUCAAAACAGUUGGUAUAUCUGAGAAUUUAAUCCAGAUCCGUAUGAAGUCACAGCUCAUGUUCCUCCCACUUUCUCUGGUGGUCCAGAGGAAAAGGGCCCUUAGGAAUGGAAAGGGAAAGAAGAUGGAUCUGAAUGCAAGGUAAGUCAAACUGGAGUCAGGACUCCUGUGCUGGUACAGGGAGUGCAGGAUGUAUAGAAUAGGACACUAGAUCCUAUGUGAAGAUGAGGAUAAUAACAGGAGCUAACACUUAGGAGCACUUACUUUGUGCCAGGUUCCAAACAAUAUAUCGAAUUCACUCUCACCUAGGAGUGGUAAUGUCAUCUUACAGAUAAGGCGACUGAGGCUCAGAGAUGCUAAUUAUCUUCUCUGAGGCCAUACAGGUACGAUAUAGGGGAGCUGGGAUACCACCCCAGGCAGUCUGACUACAAAGCAAGUACUCUGGUUGCUAUCCUGCACUACACCCAGCAGGAGAAUAAACAGAUUUAUGAGAGUAGUAUGCUCUGUGUUGGGCACCAACUCCUGCUUCCUGGAUUCUUAUCUUCUGGACAUUCUGGAAUGACCUCAGCUGAUGUAACACUCCUGCCUCCUGGCUUACCUCUUACUGCUCUCCAGAGGAGGUGAUUGAUGAUGAUCACCACGUUACUCCACUAGCACUGGGGAGGCCCCCCCCCCUUUAUCUCUUCCCUUCACCUGGGAUUAGCACAGGGCGGCAAUUCUGGAUUAGCGUAUCUGCUCUACAGAUUCAAGCUUUUUUCUUGAGUGGGGUGUCCCCGGGCUCAGAUUGCUGAAGCAUGGGGGUAAAAAUGGAGAAGCAAGCCCUUCCAGCUAGAGUUCUAAAACCACAGUCUCCCAUUGGCUUCUUAUUGAUAAUAAAGCUGAUUUGUUUUCCAAAUGGCAGGAGCGAGCCUAGCAGGCCAGACAGGCGGAAGCACAGGUGGCAUCGGCUCUAGGACAGUCUACUCCGGUCAUAGAGGGAUUUUCCUCUCAAAAUGAAUGGGUAUGUGAUGCCCGGGUAUGCAGUAGCCAUCUUAAGACCGUGAGGAUGAAGACUGUAUGCAAAGAAGGCAGAACAGGAAGACUGAAGACUACCCCUCGGCGUAUUAUCUCUGGACUUACUGUUAAAUGAGAAAAAAUGAGCUGCUGUUUAAUUAAACUGCUGUGGUUGUUUUUCAGUUAUAUGCAGCCAAACACAAUUCUAGCAGAAAGGGCUAAAGUGGCAUUCACUGCUGACCGAGACAUACAAACUGUUUCUUUAGCCAAAGACACAACUAAUAAUGUAACGGUUCUACUGGGUUAGGUAUUCUCAUUACCCUUCAAACUCCUCUGAAACUAGGGUACAUGGGAGUUAACAUUGGAAAGUGGACCAAAAAGGCAUUCUUCAAAUUGCAGUGUUUUUAUUAGAAUAUUAUUAAUUGCAGAUUUUUAAAAAACUA
Delphinapterus leucas (beluga whale) is the source of this 3931-nucleotide non-coding RNA. NCBI's taxonomy places the organism in Eukaryota, Metazoa, Chordata, Mammalia, Artiodactyla, Monodontidae. The record is from RefSeq and is a predicted model, not a curated record.